CGGGAUACCCGAGGGAAACUUCGGUUAAUACGGUAUAAGACCACACUACCGCAUGGUAGAGGGGUAAAAGGGGCAACCUGGUAUGAGAUGGACUCGCGUCGCAUUAGCUAGUUGGUGAGGUAACGGCCCACCAAGGCGACGAUGCGUAGCCGACCUGAGAGGGUGAUCGGCCACAUUGGGACUGAGAUACGGCCCAGACUCCUACGGGAGGCAGCAGUGGGGAAUAUUGGGCAAUGGAGGAAACUCUGACCCAGCAAUGCCGCGUGAAUGAAGAAGGUCUUCGGAUUGUAAAGUUCUUUAGUCAGGGAAGAAGUCAAUGACGGUACCUGAAGAAUAAGCUCCGGCUAACUACGUGCCAGCGGCCGCGGUAAUACGUAGGGAGCAAGCGUUGUUCGGAAUGACUGGGCGUAAAGGGUGCGUAGGCGGUUGUACAAGUUAGAAGUGAAAUACCCAGGGCUUAACUCGGGUGCUGCUUCUAAAACUGUAUGACUUGAGUGCAGUAGAGGUUAGUGGAAUUCCUAGUGUAGCGGUGGAAUGCGUAGAUAUUAGGAGGAACACCAGAGGCGAAGGCGGCUAACUGGACUGCAACUGACGCUGAGGCACGAAAGUGUGGGGAGCAAACAGGAUUAGAUACCCUGGUAGUCCACACUGUAAACGAUGGAUACUAGAUGUAGGAGGUAUCGACUCCUUCUGCGUCGCAG
RNAcentral lists this ribosomal RNA (701 nucleotides) under uncultured bacterium. Its description in RNAcentral is "bacterial SSU rRNA". It matches the Rfam family "Bacterial small subunit ribosomal RNA", at positions 139 to 851 of the family's 1533-position model. The record is from RNAcentral.